UACGUAGGGUGCAAGCGUUAAUCGGAAUUACUGGGCGUAAAGGGCUCGUAGGCGGCCAACUAAGUCGGAUGUGAAAUCCCCAGGCUCAACCUGGGAACUGCAUCCGAUACUGGAUGGCUUGAAUCCGGGAGAGGGAUGCAGAAUUCCAGGUGUAGCGGUGAAAUGCGUAGAUAUCUGGAGGAAUACCGGUGGCGAAGGCGGCAUCCUGGACCAUUACUGACGCUGAGGCGCGAAAGCGUGGGGAGCAAACAGG
This 253-nucleotide ribosomal RNA is filed under the name uncultured bacterium. Its description in RNAcentral is "partial 16S ribosomal RNA". It matches the Rfam family "Bacterial small subunit ribosomal RNA", at positions 524 to 776 of the family's 1533-position model. The record is from RNAcentral.